Schistosoma haematobium is the source of this 45-nucleotide non-coding RNA. The record is from Rfam. NCBI's taxonomy places the organism in Eukaryota, Metazoa, Platyhelminthes, Trematoda, Strigeidida, Schistosomatidae.
ACCCAUCUGACGAGUUUAAAAUAGGAUGAAACGCGUGUCUUGUAU